RNAcentral lists this small nuclear RNA (18 nucleotides) under Arabidopsis thaliana (thale cress). Its description in RNAcentral is "snRNA_09425". Lineage: Eukaryota; Viridiplantae; Streptophyta; Magnoliopsida; Brassicales; Brassicaceae. The record is from RNAcentral.
UACAAUUCAAAUAGUAAC